Long non-coding RNA from Felis catus (domestic cat), 873 nucleotides. RefSeq lists it as uncharacterized. The transcript is spliced from 4 exons. The record is from RefSeq and is a predicted model, not a curated record. Lineage: Eukaryota; Metazoa; Chordata; Mammalia; Carnivora; Felidae.
AAGCGCCCGUGAUUGUUAGCGGUUAGGUGUUAAUAUUAAGGAGCAACUCAGGCCAAGGACGCCGCGGGGCUGGCGUCGCUGCGGGGGGUGGAAAGCUGAGCGCGAGGGAGCUCUGAGCUUGCGGCCCCCACCCCACGCCCCGAAGCCCGGCUGUGUGCGGACGCCUUCACCCUCCAGUCUAGGUGGUCCAUGGCUUCUUUGUGUUCUAGAGCUCUCCAUGACAAACGCAGACACCCUGGAGGGCUCCACCGCCUUCCCUCCCUCCAGCGCGGAAACAGUCCCAGAGGCGACGCGAUUUGCCCGAAGUCUGCAACUUCCUGGAACUGGAAACCAAUCGGAAGACUUCCGCGUCGCGGCUCUUUCCGCCGUGAUCAGGUUACCCAGCGCCUCGGGACCUGCUUUUGAAAAGGAGAGGUCGACCUGGGAGAGCCGCUGAACGAGAUACUCUUCGGAAUCGGAUAUUUUCCUCGAAGUGGGAUUACUGGGUUGAAGGGUAUGCACAUAUGUAAGGCUCUUGAUUCAGAGUCCCUCCAGCCGCGCCAGAAUGAGUGAGUCAGCUUCCCAGCAAGCCGGCCAAAACUCGGUGGAGAUUGGACUAACUUUAAAGAAAUAUUCUUAAGGAGCACCGAGAAAUCCUGUGUGGAAAAGGAGACCGUGACACCAGGCACAUUCUGCCCAGUGAGGUGAAACCAAAGGGCUCCAAUGGUCUGGUGUGAUUUGACCAGAAGAUGUAAACACAUUUGAGCCUUGCUCCAGAGGCUUCCCCUGAGCAAGGGAGGGGAAGCUGUGACUUACUAGCUUCCCUAUGUUUGUUAUUUUUUUGUUAUUUUCAUUUCCUGAUGAGGAGUAAAUGUUUCAUAAAGCAAAUGAAAA